This 253-nucleotide ribosomal RNA is filed under the name uncultured bacterium. RNAcentral describes it as "partial 16S ribosomal RNA". It matches the Rfam family "Bacterial small subunit ribosomal RNA", at positions 524 to 776 of the family's 1533-position model. The record is from RNAcentral.
UACGUAGGGGGCGAGCGUUGUCCGGAUUUAUUGGGCGUAAAGAGCGUGUAGGCGGUUCGGUAAGUCUGCCGUGAAAACCUGAGGCUCAACCUCGGGCGUGCGGUGGAUACUGCCGGGCUAGAGGACGGUAGAGGCGAGUGGAAUUCCCGGUGUAGCGGUGAAAUGCGCAGAUAUCAGGAGGAACACCGGUGGCGAAGGCGGGUCUCUGGGCCGAUACUGACGCUGAGGAGCGAAAGCGUGGGGAGCGAACAGG